CCAUCCCAUCCUCAGCAAGGGAUCUUGUCUGAUUUUGGAAGCUAAGGAGGGUCAGGUCUGGGUUGUACAUGGAUGGGAGACCCCCAAGGGAAUACAGGAUG
This 101-nucleotide ribosomal RNA is filed under the name Pogona vitticeps (central bearded dragon). The record is from RNAcentral. Lineage: Eukaryota; Metazoa; Chordata; Lepidosauria; Squamata; Agamidae.